RNAcentral lists this ribosomal RNA (799 nucleotides) under uncultured Glomeromycotina. Its description in RNAcentral is "SSU rRNA". It matches the Rfam family "Eukaryotic small subunit ribosomal RNA", at positions 314 to 1114 of the family's 1831-position model. The record is from RNAcentral. Lineage: Eukaryota; Fungi; Glomeromycota.
AUCAACUUUCGAUGGUAGGAUAGAGGCCUACCAUGGUGGUAACGGGUAACGGGGUGUUAGGGCACGACACCGGAGAGGGAGCCUGAGAAACGGCUACCACAUCCAAGGAUGGCAGCAGGCGCGCAAAUUACCCAAUCCCGACACGGGGAGGUAGUGACAAUAAAUAACAAUACGGGGCUCUUUAGGGUCUCGUAAUUGGAAUGAGUACAAUUUAAAUCUCUUAACGAGGAACAAUUGGAGGGCAAGUCUGGUGCCAGCAGCCGCGGUAAUUCCAGCUCCAAUAGCGUAUAUUAAAGUUGUUGCAGUUAAAAAGCUCGUAGUUGAAUUUCGGGAUCAGCAGGUUGGUCGUGCCUCUGGUAUGCACUGGUUUCGCUGAUUCCUCCUUUCUGAAGAACUGUAAUGUCAUUAAUUUGGUGUUGCAGGGAAACAGGACUGUUACUUUGAAAAAAUUAGAGUGUUUAAAGCAAGCUAAGGCUUGAAUACAUUAGCAUGGAAUAAUGAAAUAGGACGUUUGAUCCUAUUUUGUUGGUUUCUAGGAUUGACGUAAUGAUUAAUAGGGAUAGUUGGGGGCAUUAGUAUUCAAUUGUCAGAGGUGAAAUUCUUGGAUUUAUUGAAGACUAACUACUGCGAAAGCAUUUGCCAAGGAUGUUUUCAUUAAUCAAGAACGAAAGUUAGGGGAUCGAAGACGAUCAGAUACCGUCGUAGUCUUAACCAUAAACUAUGCCGACUAGGGAUCGGAUGAUGUUAAUUUUUUAAUGACUCAUUCGGCGCCUUACGGGAAACCAAAGUGUUUGGGUUC